GUCACACCAUGAGAGUUGGCAACACCCGAAGUCGGUAGUCUAACCGCAAGGAGGACGCCGCCGAAGGUGGGGUUGAUGAUUAGGGUUAAGUCGUAACAAGGUACC
This 105-nucleotide ribosomal RNA is filed under the name uncultured bacterium. RNAcentral's name for it is "partial 16S ribosomal RNA". It matches the Rfam family "Bacterial small subunit ribosomal RNA", at positions 1396 to 1500 of the family's 1533-position model. The record is from RNAcentral.